UAUCUUGCCUGGGACUUCCCCGGCAAGAAUGCUGGAGUGGGUUGCCAUUUCUUUCCCAGGGGAUCUUCUCCAUCCAGGGAUCCAACCUGCAUCUCUUGCAUCUCCUUCAUUGGCAGGCGAAUUCUUUACUACUGUGUCACCUGGGCAGCCCUCAUACCAGCUAUAGCUGUUUGGAAAUGGGGUCUCUGGUCAGUUUCUGGGCAAUUGACACAUGUGUACAGGCAACCUUUUCUGCGUACACGCCUAUAACUUGGCCUCCGAUGGCUCCGAGCACCCUGAAAGGUGAAUGAUGCUCACGGGAGACCGCACUGGAAGCUGUCACCCUGGGCUCCUUCCCUGCAUUUUGCCUUCUUCCUCUAAUUCUUAACAUCUCUCUCUCCUGAUUCUUAGAUUUCUCCUCCCAUGUCUGCAUCAACUCAUGAUACCAUUUUGUCAAAACAAUGGACAAUAAUAGUUCACAAUGAGCUCUAAAUAAUUUAAAUAUUUGGUUACAAUGAAGAUGGCCACAGCCUGCACAUCUCUUUGAGCUCAGAAAGGGUUUCCUUCAUUAGUUCUAACUUUAUUUCCCAUAAAAUAGGAGGCCAUUUGAGUAAAAUGAUAGUUGGAAAAAAUUUUUAAGCAGAACCAGCAAAUAAACAUGGUCUUUAUGAGUUGUAACUUAAUCCCCAGCUGAUGUCAUGCUUCAUGUUUCAACAGCCAGAAAAUGCCUGACAUCUAUAUAUCAGGCAGAUUUAUGGAGACUUCAGGGUAAAGAGAGAAAGAGGAGCUCAACCCCCUUUGCUCUGGAUAUGCAGCUCCGAGGAGAUGUCGCAAGGCUUUAUAAUCAUGAUUUCAAAAAGGUUUGUGGAAAUGUUGCAUUAAUUCUUAUAAAGAAAUCUUUUUUUCUUAAUUUUUUCAUUAACUUCAGACAUUUACUUGCAAUUACAUUUGUUCGGUGAAUACAAUGACAGAAAUUAAUAAUUCAUAGCUUUUGUCAGGGAAAAUUUUUUUAAAAGGGACAGUUGUUCAAUCAAAUACAACUUUAAAUGCCCCAUCUUUAUUUAAAUAAGAUUUUUAAAAUAAAUAAUGGGGACUGUUAUUGUACUUCCUAUAA
Molecule: long non-coding RNA, 1093 nt
Filed under: Bos indicus x Bos taurus (hybrid cattle)
Lineage: Eukaryota; Metazoa; Chordata; Mammalia; Artiodactyla; Bovidae
Description: lncRNA (ENSBIXG00000014723.1)
Source: RNAcentral